GGUUUUAUAGUUUAAUAUAAAAACAUUAAAUUGCAAAUUUAAAAAUGAUUUAUUCUAAGACUU
This 63-nucleotide transfer RNA is filed under the name Paracyba sp. Its description in RNAcentral is "tRNA-Cys". It matches the Rfam family "tRNA". Rfam says of the family: Transfer RNA (tRNA) molecules are approximately 80 nucleotides in length. Their secondary structure includes four short double-helical elements and three loops (D, anti-codon, and T loops). The record is from RNAcentral. Lineage: Eukaryota; Metazoa; Arthropoda; Insecta; Hemiptera; Cicadellidae.